RNAcentral lists this long non-coding RNA (269 nucleotides) under Olea europaea subsp. europaea. The record is from RNAcentral. Lineage: Eukaryota; Viridiplantae; Streptophyta; Magnoliopsida; Lamiales; Oleaceae.
AAUUUAGUUCUCAAUUGGGAAAAGUGCCACUUCAUGGUACAAGAAGGUAUUGUGCUAGGCCAUCAUGUUUCGGCGAGGGGAUUGGAAGUGGACAGAGCAAAAAUUGAUACAAUUGAAAAGCUACCACCACCCACCAAUGUCAAAGGCAUUCGAAGUUUCUUAGGGCACGCUGGAUUCUACAGGAGAUUCAUCAAAGACUUCUCAAAAGUGGCAAAACCCCUAUGUAACCUUUUGGAGAAGGACACAACGUUCGUAUUUGAUGAAGACUA